CAGUUCAUCCUCUCCCUUCUUCUUCCCUGGCAUAUGUCUCCACACUCUGAUAUUGCUAUCUGCCUUCUGUCUAUCUCCCACCUGAUAGGGGAUUUCCUGUGUGGUGUGCAGCCUUUAUUGUGCCAGACAUAUUGCCAACUCAUGCAACUUUAGUCCGAGCCUCGUGAUUGCUGGAAGUAUUCACAGAGACCAAACGCUGGACCAUAAAACUUAGAAAGAAUCUCAGCUUUCUUUUAAGAAAAAAAAAGAUCCUAGACCCCAUGCUUGUAGAAGAAAGAUUGCAAAAGCUGAAGACUACAAAUCCAAAAGCAGAUGGUAUCUCUGGAUGACUGUGCAGAGACACCAGACUCUGGCAGUAAUGAGUUUCAUAGGGAGGGUUUUCCUAGCUGAAGGAUAACCAUUAUUCCAGCUUUGACUGCUGAUGUCCUAGAAGCACAGAGGUAACCAGUUCAGAAAUCAUUCCCCUGCACUCUGUUUUCACACAUUGGAUUGCUCUCACCAUCAUCCGCUGGAAUGGCAACUUUUCAACAAAUGCUCCUAGACUGAGGCUCGGGAAGGGAAAAUCAAUUUUCAGUAUCAAGCAGGACUGGCUACUGAUGACUGAGCUUCAGGAAAUUUGUUGAUGACGCCUGUGUCCCACUCCUAUUGCAGUCCACUUUUUCCUCAGAAACAGGACAGGCUGAUGUUGCCAUUACACACCUUCUUUCAGAAGUCCCAGCAUUAGUCUAUGGAUUAGCAACUACUGAACUCAAGAAGAACAGUCCAUGUUAUACUUGUCUUCAAGACCAAGCAAUCUAAAUUUCAGAGUGAUUUGGAUCAGGCCUUCAAGAGACAUUACGUGUUACAAAUUAACCAUGUGGUAUGUAUCACUGGAACACCCUUGAGUCUGCAGUCAUGGCCUAGUGUCCUUUCAGUUCACAUGCAAUGAACCCUGGCUCUUCUGCUGAGUACAGUUUUACCUGUUAUGUGGAUGUCGAUUUGCUUCUCCCACAGCACUAUAAAUGAUAGCAGAUUAAGGUCUUUAUGAUGAUGUAGAAAAAUUUUUAAUAUGUCAAUUGAUAGUCAAGUUGGAAAAUUGGGCUAUUUCCAAGCUUGGAUUUUGGCUGCAUGAGAAAAUUGGUUUAGAAACUGAUUUUGUUAAAUCACUGCAACACCCUGAUGCAGAGAUGUAUUUGAGGUUUCAUAAUGACUUAGUUUAAACUGGUAAGGAAUCAGCUUAAGCUACAUUUACCCAAAGCACCCUUACACAAAACACCAGUAAAUUGCAUGAUGACGCUAAUGGUCUCAAUAUACUAAAGACUGUGUUGAUCUAUUAAGUGCAUUUCUAAACCUACUUAAUUGUACCAUCUUGUGCAGCGAGUGCUUGUGUACAUGUAUGUUUAUAUAGGUAUUCUCUGCAGAAUACAGAACAUUAGCCUCCUUCAUCUGUGCAAUUGUGAGUGCCAGCUAACUGGUGAAAAAUCUUGUCAUUAGGACUGGGAUGGGAAGGAUAUUCUCUUUUUCUGUGGAGAGGGCACUGGAUUUCGCUAGUUACAAAAUUAAACAGACUUAAUGUAUUAUAGUUGCAAAAAAAAAAAAAU
Long non-coding RNA from Struthio camelus australis, 1580 nucleotides. RefSeq lists it as uncharacterized. The record is from RefSeq and is a predicted model, not a curated record. Lineage: Eukaryota; Metazoa; Chordata; Aves; Struthioniformes; Struthionidae.